UUUUUAUUUUUUUAUACCCAGAUGUCCACCUUACAGCGAUUAAUUCUGGGGUCUAUGAUCCAGCCCCUCUUCACGCAGACCAGGUAAACCGCGGGUUGUGCUCCAAACUGGCCAGGUCCACGAGCUCCUCCAACUGAACUGUCAAAGUGCCGAGCGAGUCAAACGCAUGUAUGCACCUUGCCUUCCAAGGAACUCCUGCCUUCCAGAAAAUAUCCUGCCUUCCGGGAGAAAGCUUUGCCUUCCAAGAGCCCUAUGAAUCGAACCCGCGACCUCUGAACUGCCCGCCUUGAAAACUCCGUCCUUUGCCAGUUGGGAUGUGCCCCAGGGGUCAAUUUAUUAUUUUUUGUCAAUAUUGUAGUGUAC
RNAcentral lists this long non-coding RNA (363 nucleotides) under Olea europaea subsp. europaea. The record is from RNAcentral. Lineage: Eukaryota; Viridiplantae; Streptophyta; Magnoliopsida; Lamiales; Oleaceae.